CGCGCAGGCGGCCAGGUCAGUCGAAUGUGAAAGCCCCCGGCUCAACUGGGGAAGGUCGUUCGAUACUGCCUGGCUUGAAGGUAGGAGAGGGAAGUGGAAUUUCAGGUGUAGUGGUGAAAUGCGUAGAUAUCUGAAGGAACACCAGUGGCGAAGGCGACUUUCUGGCCUAUUCUUGACGCUGAGGCGCGAAAGCUAGGGGAGCGAACG
This 207-nucleotide ribosomal RNA is filed under the name uncultured bacterium. RNAcentral describes it as "partial 16S ribosomal RNA". It matches the Rfam family "Bacterial small subunit ribosomal RNA", at positions 568 to 774 of the family's 1533-position model. The record is from RNAcentral.